AGCAUUAACUAGGGGUGUCCAACGAGUUGGGCUGAGAGAAAGACGCAAUGAAGUCUUUUAACCCUUUGGACCUGAUCUGGCUCAUACCAGCGUAGGGAAGUUWGACUCCUCAACA
This 115-nucleotide non-coding RNA is filed under the name Bacillus sp. (in: firmicutes). Its description in RNAcentral is "Bacillus sp. TPP sequence". It matches the Rfam family "TPP riboswitch aptamer (THI element)". From Rfam's summary of the family: Vitamin B(1) in its active form thiamin pyrophosphate (TPP) is an essential coenzyme that is synthesised by coupling of pyrimidine and thiazole moieties in bacteria. The previously detected thiamin-regulatory element, thi box was extended, resulting in a new, highly conserved RNA secondary structure, the THI element, which is widely distributed in eubacteria and also occurs in some archaea. Lineage: Bacteria; Bacillati; Bacillota; Bacilli; Caryophanales; Bacillaceae. The record is from RNAcentral.